RNAcentral lists this ribosomal RNA (537 nucleotides) under uncultured Actinomycetes bacterium. RNAcentral's name for it is "bacterial SSU rRNA". It matches the Rfam family "Bacterial small subunit ribosomal RNA", at positions 359 to 914 of the family's 1533-position model. The record is from RNAcentral. Lineage: Bacteria; Bacillati; Actinomycetota; Actinomycetes.
AAUUGCGAAUGGGCGCAAGCCUGACGCAGCGACGCCGCGUGGGGGAGGAAGGCCUUCGGGUCGUAAACCCCUUUCAGCAGGGACGAAAUUGACGGUACCUGCAGAAGAAGCGCCGGCCAACUACGUGCCAGCAGCCGCGGUAAUACGUAGGGCGCAAGCGUUGUCCGGAUUCAUUGGGCGUAAAGGGCUCGUAGGCGGUUUGGUAAGUCGGGUGUGAAAACUCAGGGCUCAACUCUGAGACGCCACUCGAUACUGCCAUGACUAGAGUCCGGUAGAGGAGUGUAGAAUUCCUGGUGUAGCGGUGAAAUGCGCAGAUAUCAGGAGGAAUACCGAUAGCGAAGGCAGCACUCUGGGCCGGUACUGACGCUGAGGAGCGAAAGCGUGGGGAGCAAACAGGAUUAGAUACCCUGGUAGUCCACGCCGUAAACGUUGGGCACUAGGUGUGGGUCCCAUCCAACGGGAUCCGUGCCGUAGCUAACGCAUUAAGUGCCCCGCCUGGGGAGUACGGCCGCAAGGCUAAAACUCANNGGAAUUGAC